CAGGAGUGAAUCACUUAUGUGACAUACUGAAGGAUUCACGCUGUAAACUGGAGAGAUUGAGUCUUUAUGAGUGUGGCAUUACAGAUGUUUCUUCUUUAACUCAGUCUUUGACAAACACAAAAGCUCUGCAGUUUCUAAAACAGCUUGAUCUGAGACUCAAUAAGAUUGGAGACUCAAAGCAGAAGCUCAUUGAUGUGCUACGAGACUCAAACUGUAAACUGAGUGUAGAUACAGAUCCAUCACCAGAAGCCUCUGAUAGAGUUCAAUCACCAAAAGCUGAUGAAUGCUGUAUAUCAUAAUGUGAAGUGUUCUUGAGAGGAGCAGUAAACAUCAGCUGAAGAUCCACAGAAGAGCUUCACUACUGUGUCUAUGAGGAGAAAUAAAUGUGUGAUAAAUGUGUAAAUGUGAUCCAUACAGGUGAAGAGACUCAGACUUUACAAUGAAAUAAUGCAGCAUGUGUGUUAGAAAACAUGAUAUUGAAUGAUUAAUGUUGCUUUAGUAUUCAAGCAGAGGAUCAUUGUGUUUAAUGUAAAGCUGGAACAGAGGAGGAAGAAGCUCAGAUGAGUCUGUCUGGCUCUUCAGUUUAAUAAUAUUUGUAUUAAACUCAUUCAUAAUCAUUCAGAUGUUUAAAUGUGAUUGUCAAGUGCAGCACUUAAAUGUAUCAAAAGAUAUAAAGCAGAUCUACAAUGUGUGAAAUUUCCAUGUUACUAAAAACAUUUCCAUGAUCUCUCUUACAUUUUCUACACAUUGUUAUUCUAUUUAAUUCUAUAUUAAGUUAGCUCUGUGUCUGUCUGUUGCUAACAAUCACAAAUCCUCUCAUUACAACAAACAAAGCAGAAACACAGAGUAAAUAAAAGCUGGAUUGUGCAGUUUUGACAGAUGAAUUGAUUAAAACGGGAGUUUUCACACACAGUGACUUUGUGCUGAACUGACUGACAGCUUCAGUGUUUAGAAAUGCUGCACCUUUUACUCACUGUUUGUGUCUGCUUUGGGUACUGGAGAGAUUAAGAAAAUACACUUUGUUUAA
This is a long non-coding RNA of Cyprinus carpio (common carp), 1027 nucleotides long. RefSeq lists it as uncharacterized. NCBI's taxonomy places the organism in Eukaryota, Metazoa, Chordata, Actinopteri, Cypriniformes, Cyprinidae. The transcript has 3 exons. The record is from RefSeq and is a predicted model, not a curated record.